Molecule: unclassified non-coding RNA, 843 nt
Filed under: Acanthaster planci (crown-of-thorns starfish)
Lineage: Eukaryota; Metazoa; Echinodermata; Asteroidea; Valvatida; Acanthasteridae
Description: uncharacterized LOC110984330, transcript variant X3
Source: RNAcentral
CUGUCUCUUCUUUUCAACUGUUGCGACCGCCUUGUUUUGAACCCCUGUGGGCCAGAUUAACUUGCCCGUUUACCACUGAGCCAGCCACGCCGCAUCAGUUUGAUUUUGUCCUGAGGCCUAUCAUCCCGCCUUUUCGUUUGGAUUUCACUCUCAGAGCCCCGAAGGAUGCGAUAGUAGCACUGGCAGAAGACAUGACCGAAGACUCCAUCUUCGCCGAGAUAGGAAUUGGCAGUUGGGGAAAUGUAAAAUCAACCAUUAGACCCUGCUAUACGAUCUUGCAUGGAUGCUUCGAUUUACUAGGAGGCAAUACUGUGCACGAUGAGGCCGGCAUCGUCAGCGACGUUGAAAGUCGGCCCUUCUGGAUCGAGUACAAAGGGGGCGUGGUGACUGUCGGCAAGGGGGGACAGACGGAAGCUUUCAUGGAGUGGGACGCCGCAAGCUACCACGAUAAAUUCCCCGUUCCUGUACACGUUGGGAUCUCUACUUACCAGUCUUAUGGCAAUUGGGUAUUUUACACGUUCUGCAAAUAAAUUUGCCAACUUCAGUAAUGUGGACUGUAUUAUAUUGUAGAGCUAUAGGCCAACCGUAAAGAGUUUUGAUUCGGCCACUUCGGUCGGUUUCUCAAGUGAGAUUCUUUGAUGUUUACAUGGUUUUCUGGUUAGACUUAGGCCCUAUAUUCAUAUUAACUGACAUUAAUUUUAGUGAAAUGCAUUCUAUUCUUGAUUAAAACUAGUUUUAAUUGCUCUGUAGAAUACGUUUUCAUGACACUUUCAUGGUAUAGAAGUUUGCAAUGUAUAUUCUUCAUACUAAGAGUGACAUCCAUGAUUGGUCACAGUAAGAAUG